CCUACGGGAGGCAGCAGUGAGGAAUAUUGGUCAAUGGACGAGAGUCUGAACCAGCCAAGUAGCGUGAAGGAUGACUGCCCUAUGGGUUGUAAACUUCUUUUAUAUGGGAAUAAAAUGUUCCACGUGUGGGAUUUUGUAUGUACCAUAUGAAUAAGGAUCGGCUAACUCGGUGCCAGCAGCCGCGGUAAUACGGAGGAUCCGAGCGUUAUCCGGAUUUAUUGGGUUUAAAGGGAGCGUAGGUGGAUUGUUAAGUCAGUUGUGAAAGUUUGCGGCUCAACCGUAAAAUUGCAGUUGAAACUGGCAGUCUUGAGUACAGUAGAGGUGGGCGGAAUUCGUGGUGUAGCGGUGAAAUGCUUAGAUAUCACGAAGAACUCCGAUUGCGAAGGCAGUUCACUGGACUGCAACUGACACUGAGGCUCGAAAGUGUGGGUAUCAAACAGGAUUAGAUACCCCUGUAGUC
Molecule: ribosomal RNA, 460 nt
Filed under: uncultured bacterium
Lineage: Bacteria
Description: partial 16S ribosomal RNA
Rfam family: Bacterial small subunit ribosomal RNA
Source: RNAcentral